Long non-coding RNA from Danio aesculapii, 194 nucleotides. RefSeq lists it as uncharacterized. NCBI's taxonomy places the organism in Eukaryota, Metazoa, Chordata, Actinopteri, Cypriniformes, Danionidae. The transcript has 3 exons. The record is from RefSeq and is a predicted model, not a curated record.
GCUUACAGUUCAUCCAAGUCCCUUGGAGGCCAUUUCACCUUUUUCAACCAUUUGGCUUACAGUUCGUUCAAGUGCUGCCAGUCUCUUGGGGGCCAUUUCACCUUUAUCAACCAUUUGAGUAAUCUUACAGUUAAUUCAGGUGUUGCCAGUCUGUUGGACCAUUUCAUAAUUGUUGUUGGAGUCAUCUUACUAUU